AAAUGAUACACCAUGAAGCUUGAACUUGCUUUCUGACAGCCUCUGAGCACCUGGUGAUGCCACUCAGAUGCAGUGGAAUGAUUUCUGCAUGGGGUAAAUCUUGACCAUUGGGCAGCAGGAGAUGGCCAGAGUGAAGAAGAAACAAUUUUCUCUUCCUUUCUGCCUUCAAUACAAUACACAGAGGCCUGGAUUUUUCUUGUAACAUUUCCAGAGGACAUCCUACCUGAGCAGUCUGCUGUUUUCUUUAUGGCUUGAAAGAUUUGCACACCUUGGUGAUGCAUCACAUCAUAUGACUUCUCAUUUUUUUGGUCUCAUCUCCUUUUUCCUCACCCUUAACACCCUGGACUUGCACCUUCCAAAAAGGUGGCAGCACCUUCAUCCUUCUUUGGGCUCUAUAGAGAUCCAGAAUGAAGAUGAUGAAUCACAGAUUUCACCCCAAACUCUGAACAACGAGUUCACAAAAUUAAGGCAGGGGAUCUACACAAGGGACAUAAAUUAGAAAAGUUGGACAGUUGAAGAAGCCCCUUAUAUUUUGUUUCAUCUUCCAUCUCUGACUUCCACUUGUAUAUUUUUGCUUCUUUCUGAAAUGAAUGCAUUUCAGAAGUUUCUAUAGUAAGAAGUUCUCAGGGUUUUGUUUUUUUUUUCUGGUCAGAAGAAUGUCUUCAUUUUUUUCUUUUUUCUUAAAAAAUAAUUUUUUGCUGGGUACAGUUCUAAGUUGACAGCUAUUUUCUGUUAGCAGUUUGAAGAUCUUGUUCUAUUGUCUUCUGGUUUACAUUCUUGCUGUUGGGGCCUCAGCCAUGAAUCUAAGUUGGGUCAAGAAAAAGAUAUUUUUCCUCCCUUACAGUAUGAGUGUGUGUGACUGCCUUUUCAGUGAGGGUGUAAAUGGUGGUAUCUGAUCCUGCCCUGUAAGGAAGUGGGAGCACAUAUGGCUCUGAGACCCUGCCAGGUGGAAAGCACAUAGAGGAAAGAAAGCUCCCUUUGAGGAAUGGUCCCUGUGAAGACUUCCCCUUAAGAGAAGUUACCCCUGAGGAGAAUUACUCCUGAGGAGUGCUCCCUCUGAGGAGAGACUCUGUCAAAAAAGAAAAAAAAAGAAAAAAAAAAAAGAAGAAGAACUUGACGUGUGAAGCAUGCAGGAGCUGUGCUGAGUACAACAUCCAUGUGUCUUGUUUCG
This 1171-nucleotide long non-coding RNA is filed under the name Homo sapiens (human). RNAcentral's name for it is "non-protein coding lnc-IGSF3-1:1". Lineage: Eukaryota; Metazoa; Chordata; Mammalia; Primates; Hominidae. The record is from RNAcentral.